UUUUAUCAUUAAUUUUGUGAGAUUUCUAAUAGUUUUUGACAGUUGACUGUUGUCUUUUAUCCACAGGCACUGAGUUUGUUUAUUUAUGAAUUGAAAAUCACUACACACAUUCUUUUUGUAUUUUAUGGAAAAAAAGACAAAGGAGAAGACAGCAGGGGAGAACAGUUCAGAGAAAGAGGAAAACAUUGUGAGCCGGGGCAGCGAGGCGCUAAUCCCUGCGAUUCAUACUGGUGGAGCAUGUGGCUGUUUGAACUCCUUGGCAACUUCGGCCUGGUCUCAGAGUGAAUUGUGAGGAAAAAGAACAAAAGAGUUCACUCUGAGUUCCUCUUGUCAGAGCAGGCGGGACUGCUUUGAGGUCAGCGUUAAAAGACGGUAAUGGGACACGGAACCGAGUAACAACAAAAAAAAUAAUAAUAAUAAUGUGCAAGGUCACUGGGAGCUUACCUAGCAUAAAGUGAGAUAAAACCACCCUUGACAAGACUUACAGCCUGGGUCCUGCCACAUACUGCUAAGUCACUUCUAACCAGCACUUGGCUGCUAGUCUCUGAAGAUAACACCUCAGCUACGUACUCUGAGAAUAUCUGUUCGCUUGGCGAACAGUAAUUGAGAUCUCACUGGGCCAGCCAGGACUAAUGCUGGAAGGUGCAGUAGGAACCUUUAUGUCCUUGCGCCAGCCAGUUUUGUGAGCGCAGAAGGGAUCACUGGUGAGUGCGUACUGGGAAUUGAUGCUAAACCCUGAAAGAUCAUAGAUCCAGCAAAAGAUAUGGGUGAGAUGCAGAAGUGCCAACAUGGUAACUAGAAAGAUGCAUAUAUGUUUAAACUCCUUGUUAUGAACACGUAUGUUAAAUCCUAAUCUCAUGAUGGCAUUCAGAGUAGGGGCCUUUGGGAAAUAAUUUAUGUCAGAUGGGGGAAGCACCCAUGAAUAAGGUCAAUGUCCUUAUAAAUAAGAGACUCCAAAGAAUGUUCUAGCCUUCUUUGUACCAUGUAAAGAUACAAGAAUAUGACAGUUUGCAACCCAGAAAAAGUCUCUCAUCAAAACCCAGCCAUGCUGACGUCCUGAUGUCAGACUUCUAGGUCUCAGAACUAUGGGAAAUAAGUUUGUUGUUUAUAGGCCAUUCAAUUUAUGGUAUUUUGUUAAAGUAGCCUGAACAGAGGAAGACACUCCUUCAAAGGAAAGACACAACCAACCGCUAGUCUUUCU
This 1201-nucleotide long non-coding RNA is filed under the name Chinchilla lanigera (long-tailed chinchilla). RNAcentral's name for it is "lncRNA (ENSCLAG00000024302.1)". The record is from RNAcentral. Lineage: Eukaryota; Metazoa; Chordata; Mammalia; Rodentia; Chinchillidae.